GCCCACGUAGCUUAAGUGGUAGAGCAGACGAUUCGUAAUCGUCAGGUUACCGGUUCGACUCCGGUCGUGGGCU
This 73-nucleotide transfer RNA is filed under the name Candidatus Omnitrophota bacterium. RNAcentral's name for it is "tRNA-Thr". It matches the Rfam family "tRNA". Rfam says of the family: Transfer RNA (tRNA) molecules are approximately 80 nucleotides in length. Lineage: Bacteria; Pseudomonadati; Candidatus Omnitrophota. The record is from RNAcentral.